UCCCAUCUCACGUUUCUUUCAUCCUCCAUGGAAGCUUGUUUUGAAACCUCCAUAACUUCACUCAAGUUAACUCUAAUUUUCAUGCUUCUGUGCACUUUUUCAUAAAACCUUUUGUGCUCUUUCACUCUCUCACUUUAAAACCCUUAAAAAGUCUUACUUCCAUACUUCCUCUCACUAGUUAGGUGUUUUAGAGAGAGAAAGAAGGAGCUUCUAUAAUAGCGUGAAAAUUUUUGUAAAGGAAUUCAAUUACAAAGCUACCAAGGUGAGUAGUGAAUUAGAGUUGAUUUUUAAGUUGUUGAAAAUGGCUAGUGGAUAGAUUUGUGAAUGUUUUGUAGUUGAGGAUUAUUUAUUCAUCUUUAGUGUGAGUAGAAUACUGAAAGUAAAUAGCCGUUUAAUGGCAAUUGGAAGCUAGUUAGGAAUAACUAGUAGAACAUGAUUUAGGAGAUAACUUUUAAAAUUAUGGUUAUGUGAAUUAAGUUGAUUUGUGAUGCUAUUGUGUGUGAUAGGUUCCAACAAGACCCCACAUCUCCAUUCGGAGCAUUAGUGGAAGUUGGAGUUGAUCUAAGAUUUAAUAAAUACCGGUGAGUGAACUUGCAUUUUAAAAUGUUUUGGAAAGUGCCUACAUGUUUAAAUAAAUCAUUUGAAAGUUUCAUUUGUUUUUGCUUUAAAAAUAUACUUAGGGAAUAAGCCCUUGAUGAAAUGUUUCUAUGUUGUGAAAUGUGCAAUAUGAAUAGUUCAUGCAUUCUCACAUUAUAUUGAUAUGUAUAUUAUGCUUUGGAUGCUCCUUUUGUGUGAUAAUGUGGACCCAACUAUGUGCUGUGUGGGAGUGCACAUGAGUUGAUGAUGACCUAGCUAUGUGCGGUGUGAGAGUGCACAUGAGCUGAUGAUGAUGAUAUUGCAUUGUGCAUGUAGGGAGUGCACAUGAGCUGAGUGUGACGAGAUGGUAUGCAUGAUGAUGUAUGUAUAUAUAUGUGUGUGUGUGUGUUAUAGAAAGUUUAUGAAAAUAAUUGUGAUUGUGUUAUAUGUUGGUAUUGUUAAUUGCUCCCAAAUUGCUUUUCAUUUUAACAAGAAAAUGGCUUUUUGAUGUAACAAUACCCCUUUUAACUAAAUUGCUUUGUUUCUCACUGCAGCAAGUUUCAUUUUAGCUGUAGUGAGAAACUCUCGGGUGGUUCCAAAAUUCUGGUGCAGUGCUUUUACUUUGACAAAGAUUUUGACUACUUUUCGGUUAGAACUGGGCAAAGUGGUAAACAUCAGAGUUGUAUCCCAGCCUCUUAGCUUUCUAAUGACUAAAAAAUCAUAUCAAUUGGACUUCUGUAAUGGGAGAUAUGCUUGAAAAACCAAAGCAUAUGCAAACUAAGAAUGCCUUUUCGCUGCAGCGAGAAAACCCUCUGUUUGUUUGUCUUGCUUGGUCAUCGUUGAAAUUUUCAUUCUAUUCAACUUUAUGUUUCAUCAUGGGUUUUGUAACAUUAAGGGAUUAAACAUUCAAAGUUUGAAAUGAGGAGUUUUAACAAAAAAUUUAGACUAAAUUGCAUGGUUUAUCGUAAGUGCAUUAUGUUUUCUAAAACAUUCCUUGUCAUUGCUUGUUCCUUUCUUCUGUUCACUCACUGAGUUUAUACUCACUCUUUUAAAUUGUAUGUUUUCAGAUCCGUAGAUAGUUGGGACCGAGACUAAGGUGUCCACUUGCAUUCACUUUUGGUAGGUAUCAUGGCAUUCGAUAGCCGUACCCUCACCAAAGUCACUCCGCUGGUCAUCAAAAAUCUUUUGUAUGAGUACAUGUACAUUAAAUGUAAAUUGCUAGGAAUCACUUUGCUAACGAUGCAUGUAUAGUUUGGAAUGAUGGUGCCAUUAUGAAAUGGCUAUGAGUAACCUUAUUUUGAGAUCCUAAAAAAUGUAAAUUUUUGGUAUCUAUACUGUAUUAUGAAAACACGUCUAGUUGCAAAUUACAAAUGGUGGUCUAGUAAUGGUGAUGAAAAAUUGAUGGGAUAGUGAACAGGAUUACGUAAAGAGGCUUGG
Molecule: long non-coding RNA, 2013 nt
Filed under: Theobroma cacao (cacao)
Lineage: Eukaryota; Viridiplantae; Streptophyta; Magnoliopsida; Malvales; Malvaceae
Description: long non-coding RNA (TCAC_LNC002614)
Source: RNAcentral